GACGAACGCUGUCGGCGUGCUUAACACAUGCAAGUCGAACGGAAAGGCCCUGCUUUUGUGGGGUGCUCGAGUGGCGAACGGGUGAGUAACACGUGAGUAACCUGCCCUUGACUUUGGGAUAACUUCAGGAAACUGGGGCUAAUACCGGAUAGGAGCUCCUGCUGCAUGGUGGGGGUUGGAAAGUUUCGGCGGUUGGGGAUGGACUCGCGGCUUAUCAGCUUGUUGGUGGGGUAGUGGCUUACCAAGGCUUUGACGGGUAGCCGGCCUGAGAGGGUGACCGGCCACAUUGGGACUGAGAUACGGCCCAGACUCCUACGGGAGGCAGCAGUGGGGAAUAUUGCACAAUGGGCGGAAGCCUGAUGCAGCAACGCCGCGUGCGGGAUGACGGCCUUCGGGUUGUAAACCGCUUUCGCCUGUGACGAAGCGUGAGUGACGGUAAUGGGUAAAGAAGCACCGGCUAACUACGUGCCAGCAGCCGCGGUGAUACGUAGGGUGCGAGCGUUGUCCGGAUUUAUUGGGCGUAAAGGGCUCGUAGGUGGUUGAUCGCGUCGGAAGUGUAAUCUUGGGGCUUAACCCUGAGCGUGCUUUCGAUACGGGUUGACUUGAGGAAGGUAGGGGAGAAUGGAAUUCCUGGUGGAGCGGUGGAAUGCGCAGAUAUCAGGAGGAACACCAGUGGCGAAGGCGGUUCUCUGGGCCUUUCCUGACGCUGAGGAGCGAAAGCGUGGGGAGCGAACAGGCUUAGAUACCCUGGUAGUCCACGCUGUAAACGGUGGGUACUAGGUGUGGGGUCCAUUCCACGGGUUCCGUGCCGUAGCUAACGCUUUAAGUACCCCGCCUGGGGAGUACGGCCGCAAGGCUAAAACUCAAAGGAAUUGACGGGGCCCCGCACAAGCGGCGGAGCAUGCGGAUUAAUUCGAUGCAACGCGUAGAACCUUACCUGGGUUUGACAUGGAUCGGGAGUGCUCAGAGAUGGGUGUGCCUCUUUUGGGGUCGGUUCACAGGUGGUGCAUGGCUGUCGUCAGCCCGUGUCGUGAGAUGUUGGGUUAAGUCCCGCAACGAGCGCAACCCUUGUUCACUGUUGCCAACACGUUAUGGUGGGGACUCAGUGGAGACCGCCGGGGUCAACUCGGAGGAAGGUGGGGAUGACGUCAAGUCAUCAUGCCCCUUAUGUCCAGGGCUUCACGCAUGCUACAAUGGCUGGUACAGAGAGUGGCGAGCCUGUGAGGGUGAGCGAAUCUCGGAAAGCCGGUCUCAGUUCGGAUUGGGGUCUGCAACUCGACCUCAUGAAGUCGGAGUCGCUAGUAAUCGCAGAUCAGCAACGCUGCGGUGAAUACGUUCCCGGGGCU
RNAcentral lists this ribosomal RNA (1346 nucleotides) under uncultured bacterium. RNAcentral's name for it is "partial 16S ribosomal RNA". It matches the Rfam family "Bacterial small subunit ribosomal RNA", at positions 28 to 1381 of the family's 1533-position model. The record is from RNAcentral.